Molecule: non-coding RNA, 779 nt
Filed under: Ommexecha virens
Lineage: Eukaryota; Metazoa; Arthropoda; Insecta; Orthoptera; Ommexechidae
Description: small subunit ribosomal RNA
Rfam family: Microsporidia small subunit ribosomal RNA (bases 345-769)
Source: RNAcentral
UCAAAGUUUUAUUCUUGCUUAUUUAUUCACUUUUUCUUUGUAUUAUAUGCAAGUUUUGUAAUACUAAAUGUUCUUUUUGCAGUAAUUUGAUUUGAUUAUUAAGUUAUCUUUGAAUUAGCAAUUGAUUAAGUAUUGGCAUAAUUCGUGCCAGCAGCCGCGGUUAUACGAUUGAUGCAAGUGAAUAUUAUUGGUUUAAACAGUUAUUUAUAAUUUUUAGGGUUUAAUUAGAAAUUUAUAAGGUGAAAUUUGAUUUUUUUAUUUAUCCCUUUAUACGAUUCUGUGAAAUUUAAAUAAUAAACUAGGAUUAGAUACCCUAUUAUUUUAAACGUUAAUUUUUCUUACCUGGGUACUAUUAGUUAAGAUCUUUAAACCCAAAGAAUUUGGCGGUAUCUCAAUCCAUUCAGAGGAACCUGUCCCGUGAUUGAUAAUACACGAUUAAUUUUACUUUAUUUAUUUGUUUGUAUAUCUCCGUUAUCAGAAAAUCUUUUUAGAGUUAUAAUUUUCUUAAUUUAUGAUUGUAAAGUAUUUCAGGUCAAGGUGCAGCUUAUAAUAAAGAGGUGAUGGGUUACAAUAAAUUUUUGUUUAUAUGGAUUUAUUUCUGAAAUGUUUUAAUGAAGGUGGAUUUGAUGGUAAUUUAAUUAAUUUAGUUUAAUUGAUAUUGGCUCUGAGAUGUGUACACAUCGCCCGUCGCUCUCAUUAUUGGAUGUUUGAUGAUUCAAGUUAGAUGAGAUAAGUCGUAACAUAGUAGAUGUACUGGAAAGUGUAUCUAGUAAGAUUUU